Molecule: ribosomal RNA, 615 nt
Filed under: uncultured bacterium
Lineage: Bacteria
Description: bacterial SSU rRNA
Rfam family: Bacterial small subunit ribosomal RNA (bases 1-521)
Source: RNAcentral
CCUACGGGAGGCAGCAGUGGGGAAUAUUGGACAAUGGGCGAAAGCCUGAUCCAGCAAUGCCGCGUGAGUGAUGAAGGCCUUAGGGUUGUAAAGCUCUUUUACCAGGGAUGAUAAUGACAGUACCUGGAGAAUAAGCUCCGGCUAACUCCGUGCCAGCAGCCGCGGUAAUACGGAGGGAGCUAGCGUUGUUCGGAAUUACUGGGCGUAAAGCGCGCGUAGGCGGCGAUUCAAGUCAGAGGUGAAAGCCCGGGGCUCAACCCCGGAACUGCCUUUGAAACUAGAUUGCUAGAAUCUUGGAGAGGUCAGUGGAAUUCCGAGUGUAGAGGUGAAAUUCGUAGAUAUUCGGAAGAACACCAGUGGCGAAGGCGACUGACUGGACAAGUAUUGACGCUGAGGUGCGAAAGCGUGGGGAGCAAACAGGAUUAGAUACCCAGGUAGUCCACGCCGUAAACGAUGAUAACUAGCUGUCCGGGCACUUGGUGUCGUUGGUGGUCGCGNGCUACGACAUUAAGUUAUCCGUCCGUCGGGUAGGUACGGUCGCGAGAGUUAAACGUACUAAGUAGUAAGUUAGUUACGUCGUUGAGACGUUGCCGACGGCGACGACGAGGGAGGAGG